RNAcentral lists this ribosomal RNA (490 nucleotides) under uncultured bacterium. RNAcentral's name for it is "partial 16S ribosomal RNA". It matches the Rfam family "Bacterial small subunit ribosomal RNA", at positions 29 to 507 of the family's 1533-position model. The record is from RNAcentral.
AGUGAACGCUGGCGGUAGGCCUAACACAUGCAAGUCGAACGGCAGCACAGGAGAGCUUGCUCUCUGGGUGGCGAGUGGCGGACGGGUGAGGAAUACAUCGGAAUCUGCCCAGUCGUGGGGGAUAACGUAGGGAAACUUACGCUAAUACCGCAUACGACCUUCGGGUGAAAGAGGGGGAUCGCAAGACCUCUCGCGAUUGGAUGAGCCGAUGUCGGAUUAGCUAGUUGGCGGGGUAAUGGCCCACCAAGGCGACGAUCCGUAGCUGGUCUGAGAGGAUGAUCAGCCACACUGGAACUGAGACACAGUCCAGACUCCUACGGGAGGCAGCAGUGGGGAAUAUUGGACAAUGGGCGCAAGCCUGAUCCAGCCAUACCGCGUGGGUGAAGAAGGCCUUCGGGUUGUAAAGCCCUUUUGUUGGGAAAGAAAUCUUUCAGGCUAAUACCCUGGGAGGAUGACGGUACCCAAAGAAUAAGCACCGGCUAACUUCGUG